AACGAACGCUGGCGGCAUGCCUAACACAUGCAAGUCGAACGAGACCUUCGGGUCUAGUGGCGCACGGGUGCGUAACGCGUGGGAACCUGCCCUUAGGUUCGGAAUAACUCCCCGACAGGGGUGCUAAUACCGGAUAAUGUCUUCGGACCAAAGAUUUAUCGCCUUUGGAUGUGCCCGCGUUGGAUUAGCUAGUUGGUAGGGUAAAAGCCUACCAAGGCGACGAUCCAUAACUGGUCUGAGAGGAUGAUCAGCCACACUGGGACUGAGACACGGCCCAGACUCCUACGGGAGGCAGCAGUGGGGAAUAUUGGACAAGGGGCGAAAGCCUGAUACAGCAAUGCCGCGUGAGUGAUGAAGGCCGUAGAGUUGUAAAGCUCUUUUAACCGGGAUGAUAAUGACAGUACCGGGAGAAUAAGCCCCGGCUAACUCCGUG
This 433-nucleotide ribosomal RNA is filed under the name uncultured bacterium. RNAcentral's name for it is "partial 16S ribosomal RNA". It matches the Rfam family "Bacterial small subunit ribosomal RNA", at positions 29 to 507 of the family's 1533-position model. The record is from RNAcentral.